Molecule: ribosomal RNA, 494 nt
Filed under: uncultured bacterium
Lineage: Bacteria
Description: partial 16S ribosomal RNA
Rfam family: Bacterial small subunit ribosomal RNA
Source: RNAcentral
GACGAACGCUGGCGGCGUGCUUAACCCAUGCAAGUCGAACGGAAAGGCCUGCUUUCCCUUGUGGAUUGCGGGUACUCGAGUGGCGAACGGGUGAGUAACACGUGAGUGAUCUGCCCCCAACUUGGGUAUAAGCCUGGGAAACUGGGUCUAAUUCCCGAUAGGACUGCAGGGUGGUGCCUGUGGUGGAAAACGAUUUUCUAGUGGUUGGGGAUGAGCUCGCGGCCUAUCAGCUUGUUGGUGGGGUAAUGUCCUACCAAGGCGGCGACGGGUAGCCGGCCUGAGAGGGUGGACGGCCACAUUGGGACUGAGAUACGGCCCAGACUCCUACGGGAGGCAGCAGUGGGGAAUAUUGCACAAUGGGCGGAAGCCUGAUGCAGCGACGCCGCGUGGGGGAUGACGGCCUUCGGGUUGUAAACUCCUUUCGACCGCGAGGAAGCCACCUGGUUGGAAGGGUGGUGACGGUAGUGGUAGAAGAAGCACCGGCUAACUACGUG